UGCCUAGGGAACUGCGCAGUCGAGGGGGAUAACAGUUGGAAACGACUGCUAAUACCGCAUACGCCCUACGGGGGAAAGGAGGGGCUCUUCGGACCUUUCGCGAUUGGAUGUACCUAGGUGGGAUUAGCUUGUUGGUGAGGUAAGAGCUCACCAAGGCGACGAUCCCUAGCUGUUCUGAGAGGAUGAUCAGCCACACUGGGACUGAGACACGGCCCAGACUCCUACGGGAGGCAGCAGUGGGGAAUAUUGCACAAUGGGCGAAAGCCUGAUGCAGCCAUGCCGCGUGUGUGAAGAAGGCCU
RNAcentral lists this ribosomal RNA (300 nucleotides) under uncultured Shewanella sp. RNAcentral's name for it is "bacterial SSU rRNA". It matches the Rfam family "Bacterial small subunit ribosomal RNA", at positions 114 to 417 of the family's 1533-position model. Lineage: Bacteria; Pseudomonadati; Pseudomonadota; Gammaproteobacteria; Alteromonadales; Shewanellaceae. The record is from RNAcentral.